RNAcentral lists this ribosomal RNA (400 nucleotides) under uncultured bacterium. RNAcentral's name for it is "bacterial SSU rRNA". It matches the Rfam family "Bacterial small subunit ribosomal RNA", at positions 356 to 773 of the family's 1533-position model. The record is from RNAcentral.
GGGGAAUAUUGGACAAUGGGGGCAACCCUGAUCCAGCAAUGCCGCGUGAGUGAAGAAGGCCUUAGGGUUGUAAAGCUCUUUUACCAGGGAUGAUAAUGACCGUACCUGGAGAAUAAGCCCCGGCUAACUCCGUGCCAGCAGCCGCGGUAAUACGGAGGGGGCUAGCGUUGUUCGGAAUUACUGGGCGUAAAGCGUACGUAGGCGGUUUACCAAGUAAGGGGUGAAAUCCCAGGGCUUAACCCUGGAAUUGCCUUUUAGACUGGUAGACUUGAGACCGAGAGAGGUAAGGGGAAUUCCGAGUGUAGAGGUGAAAUUCGUAGAUAUUCGGAAGAACACCAGUGGCGAAGGCGCCUUACUGGCUCGGUACUGACGCUGAGGUACGAAAGCGUGGGGAGCAAAC